CAAUAGCGUAUAUUAAAGUUGUUGCAGUUAAAAAGCUCGUAGUUGGAUUUCGGGGCAGCCUGGCUGGUCCGCCGCAAGGCGAGUACUGGUCAGCCGCACUUCCUCUCGAAAGCCCCGACUGCUCUUCGUUGCAGUGGUCGGGUAGUUCGGGACGUUUACUUUGAAAAAAUUAGAGUGUUCAAGGCAGGCCUACGCCUGAAUACAUUAGCAUGGAAUAAUGGAAGAGGACCUCGGUCCUAUUUUGUUGGUUUCCAGGGCCGAAGUAAUGAUUAAGAGGGACAGUUGGGGGCAUUCGUAUUUAAUUGUCAGAGGUGAAAUUCUCGGAUUUAUGAAAGACGAACAACUGCGAAAGCAUUUGCCAAGGAUGUUUUCAUUAA
This 377-nucleotide ribosomal RNA is filed under the name uncultured eukaryote. RNAcentral describes it as "partial 18S ribosomal RNA". It matches the Rfam family "Eukaryotic small subunit ribosomal RNA", at positions 592 to 976 of the family's 1831-position model. The record is from RNAcentral.